UACGUAGGUCCCGAGCGUUGUCCGGAUUUAUUGGGCGUAAAGCGAGCGCAGGUGGUUUAUUAAGUCUAGUGUAAAAGGCAGUGGCUCAACCAUUGUAUGCAUUGGAAACUGGUAGACUUGAGUGCAGGAGAGGAGAGUGGAAUUCCAUGUGUAGCGGUGAAAUGCGUAGAUAUAUGGAGGAACACCGGUGGCGGAAGCGGCUCUCUGGCCUGUAACUGACACUGAGGCUCGAAAGCGUGGGGAGCAAACAGG
This 252-nucleotide ribosomal RNA is filed under the name uncultured bacterium. RNAcentral's name for it is "partial 16S ribosomal RNA". It matches the Rfam family "Bacterial small subunit ribosomal RNA", at positions 524 to 776 of the family's 1533-position model. The record is from RNAcentral.